This 253-nucleotide ribosomal RNA is filed under the name uncultured bacterium. RNAcentral describes it as "partial 16S ribosomal RNA". It matches the Rfam family "Bacterial small subunit ribosomal RNA", at positions 524 to 776 of the family's 1533-position model. The record is from RNAcentral.
UACGGAGGGUGCGAGCGUUGUCCGGAUUCACUGGGCGUAAAGGGCGCGUAGGCGGCCUGAUAAGUGGGGGGUGAAAUCCUGCGGCUUAACCGCAGGGCUGCCUUCUAAACUGUCAGGCUUGAGCACAGUAGAGGCAGGUGGAAUUCCCGGUGUAGCGGUGGAAUGCGUAGAGAUCGGGAAGAACAUCAGUGGCGAAGGCGGCCUGCUGGGCUGUUGCUGACGCUGAGGCGCGACAGCGUGGGGAGCAAACAGG